AAAAAAUAUCCAUAUGAAUAUGUCCCACUUUGAUUAACAUGAUUUUCAUGCUGUUACAAUAAUUUUUUAAUUCUUGUUUGGCUUUUGGAAGAUCUACUGGAAAGUAGUUUGUUUUGGGAUUCUCAUUUAGGUGCCACUGUUUUUCAUCUUUUCUAGUACACUUCAAGGGGACAAUCUUGUUGGUUUUUUUAGUUAUAUUAUGAUAAAAUUUGUAAUAUUUUAAAUUUGAGACCAAUUAUUAGCACUCAGUAUUGGUUUGGCUAGGUUGAUUGUGU
This 275-nucleotide unclassified non-coding RNA is filed under the name Hevea brasiliensis (rubber tree). The record is from RNAcentral. Lineage: Eukaryota; Viridiplantae; Streptophyta; Magnoliopsida; Malpighiales; Euphorbiaceae.